This 73-nucleotide transfer RNA is filed under the name Neotoma lepida (desert woodrat). It matches the Rfam family "tRNA". Rfam says of the family: Transfer RNA (tRNA) molecules are approximately 80 nucleotides in length. The record is from Rfam by way of RNAcentral. Lineage: Eukaryota; Metazoa; Chordata; Mammalia; Rodentia; Cricetidae.
GGGAGGAUUGCUCAGUGGGUAAGGGUGCUUGGUUUGAAACCAGGAGNGACUGGGUUCAAAUCCCCAGCACCCA